CCUACGGGUGGCAGCAGUAGGGAAUAUUGCUCAAUGGGGGAAACCCUGAAGCAGCAACGCCGCGUGGAGGAUGAAGGUUUUCGGAUUGUAAACUCCUUUUGUUAGAGAAGAUAAUGACGGUAUCUAACGAAUAAGCCCCGGCUAACUCCGUGCCAGCAGCCGCGGUAAUACGGAGGGUGCCAGCGUUACUCGGAAUCACUGGGCGUAAAGAGCGAGUAGGCGGGAUAGCAGGUCAGAUGUGAAAUCCUUUGGCUUAACCAUAGAACUGCAUUUGAAACUGUUAUUCUAGAGUAUGGGAGAGGUAGGUGGAAUUCUUGGUGUAGGGGUAAAAUCCGUAGAGAUCAAGAGGAAUACUCAUUGCGAAGGCGACCUACUAGAACAUAACUGACGCUGAUGCGCGAAAGCGUGGGGAGCAAACAGGAUUAGAUACCCGAGUAGUC
This 440-nucleotide ribosomal RNA is filed under the name uncultured bacterium. RNAcentral describes it as "partial 16S ribosomal RNA". It matches the Rfam family "Bacterial small subunit ribosomal RNA", at positions 338 to 795 of the family's 1533-position model. The record is from RNAcentral.